CAACAACCCUGUGACGCUCGUAAUCCGUCUCUCUUCUUUCUUGAACUAUUAUAUGCAUUUCUUUCCUUCUUUUUCUCUUUCCCCACUUUCUCUCUAUCACUCUCUCUCUUUUUAAUACAUUUGACUUUCUACCACCGCUUUUCCUACGCGAAUUUCGUUUCUCCCUUACAUUAGUCUCAGAAAUGUACAACAUAGAGGGUUGUCAUAUAGUGUUGUAAUUUGUUCCUACAUAUAUAUAUACAUGUAUAUAGGGUAAUCUUUUGAAGUAACAUCAAUAAAUUCCUAGUCGUGUUUUAUAAAUCAGUAUUGAUUGAAGAAAAAUGUCAUAAUAAACGUGACUACGCGUGUGAAGCAUUUUUAAUCGUGUACAAGACUAAAUAUGUUAAUACGGAAGUGUUCCCCUAAGUGUAAAUUAUAUCUAAAAUUGUCUAUAUCUAAAAAAAAAAAAAAGGAAUACUCCUUGGAUGCAUUGUGCGGACGUGUCUUACGAGUUUAUUAUCGAUGGCAAAUUCGAUCAAUCAGAAGACGCAGCUGUAUACCACAGUGGAGCGUGUCUCGUGAGAAACCGCUCGGUGAAGACGUUCGUAUACCUUCUAGCCAGAAAUAUCGGGUUUCGGUACUUAUUUUCUGUGAAACAAUUUUCAAGUGAAGUAGCGUUAUUCAUUUUCGAGAUAUGUUUAAGUUUUAUCAUUUUUUUUUUCUUUUUUGUGCAAAUAGUGCAUAACGAAUUUCCCUCCUCGACAAUACCGACUCGUUUUUAUAAUUUUCAAUGUGAUAACGUCGAAUGAAAUAUAUUAUAAUAUAAUUAUCGAUGACCAGAGAUCAAUGAUAUCGACGCUUUCGUCCGUAACUAUGAUUGUCUGUAAUGGAAAUAUUUUUGUUUUUUUUUAUUUCUUUUUUCUUUUUACAUUCCAGAGACACAUGCUCGGCUUAUUAAAAAGAAAAAAAAGAAAAAUAAAUAUAAUAGGUAUGGUAUAAAAGAUGCUAUUAGUACACAGGAGGAAGAACGUUAGACAUACUUUUUAAUUAACUUGUUAUGUAAAUUACUACUCACAACAAAAUACAUUGAUAAUACUGUA
This 1079-nucleotide long non-coding RNA is filed under the name Polistes fuscatus (common paper wasp). Its description in RNAcentral is "uncharacterized LOC122525503". Lineage: Eukaryota; Metazoa; Arthropoda; Insecta; Hymenoptera; Vespidae. The record is from RNAcentral.